This is a long non-coding RNA of Oxyura jamaicensis (ruddy duck), 713 nucleotides long. RefSeq lists it as uncharacterized. NCBI's taxonomy places the organism in Eukaryota, Metazoa, Chordata, Aves, Anseriformes, Anatidae. The record is from RefSeq and is a predicted model, not a curated record. The transcript has 3 exons.
UGCAGUGAUAAAUUUACAUCUUAUGCUUUAACAUAAGCUUAAAUCUUAUGCUUUUUGACAUACAGAUAACCAGCAUAUACUGUAUUUGUACUUUCAAGUAUCAAUAAACAGUUACAUAAGCAUCCUUUAGGAUCACCUUACGCAGAAAUACUAUUGCUUACACAUAACCACAAAAAACUAUGACAGCAGUUGCGUCAGUUUUUCAUUUCUACUGUUAAAAUAAUGAGGAAUUCUCGGGUAAGAGGCAAAAUACAUGGAAUACCUUUUCUGCAGGCACCCAACCCCCUCCAGGAAGAUUAUAGGGUGGCCUUGACAAGGGUUCUUGAGUCUAGCAAACCCAAGUCAGAUCACUACAGGAAGAUAUAAGGAGAGAAUCAACUGAAACUCCAAUGCAAUGAUUCAGAGCACUUACUGCUGCUUCCCCAAGCAGAAAGCUACCACAGCUGCUGCUCCUAUCCUGCAGAAAUGGCCAGAAGAGGAACUGUGUCUGGGCUCCGAUGGAAAGAACUGUAUCCCCAGGGAAGAAGUGAGAGCAAACUCUGGAAAGUCUGUGGUUGCAUUCAUAUCAAGAGACUAUCAGGCUUGGAUUUCUCUCUUACCCUAUCAGUUCUCCACCAUGCUUUUCGUCACAGAUACUGACUCAGUUAUAGCUUGUCUGGAAUUAUUUAAUUUCUUCUAAAAAUGCUUACUUUGUCCAAAGCAAAUUCCCCAUG